GUCAUGGGAUUCAGAACUUUCUGAAUCCUGUUGGUUCCCAGCUCAGGUUUACAUUGCAGUGGAACUGGAGUCGUUUCUCCUUUGAAUAAAUCUGUCCCCCUCUGUGUGUUUUCAGCUUCCCAUCAAUAGAGGUUCUAAUGUAACACAUUGGUGAGUGAAUGCUCUGAACACUCCAUAUCACAUCUCUGAACAUGCUAGUGAAAAUCGGAUGUUUGGCAAGUUGUAGGAGAAUAUGUAUUUGGUGGUGGAGAGGGUUGAUCACUUUCCUAUACUUUUGUCUGAAAGUUGUUCUCACAGUGAGAAAUUGCCAUUGUCUGAAUUUGGAGGAGAGAUCUUUUUUCACCCCGAGUUUGUAGAAUGAUUUAGACUGAUGGGACUUCCCAAGACCUGUCAGCUUUGUCAAACUACCAAGAGUGCUGCUUUGUGUUAAGAAAAAUACGAUUUUUUUAGUUUCUGCCGCAUAUUAAUCAGAAACCAUGUUUUAUUUCUCAGUUUAAGAGAUCAGCUUAUGUCCUACGGGUUUUGGGGGUUUGUUUGUUUGUUUUGUCCUUAGAAAACCCGAGGUUCUUUCGCGAGGGAUGAUGCUGAAGAGCAGUUCUCGAGUGGCAGCUCGAGAGCUUUACCGGAGCCGAGGGCUCCUCUCUUCCCACAAGAGGGAGCCCGGCGGUCACUGCAGGAUCAGCUCCGCGCCGGCUCGGGAGCGCUUCGCGAUCUCUCGCCGGCCAGCAGAGGGGAUGUGCCGGGCAGGCCGGCCCGAGUUUAGCCCCUCAGCGCAGAUUCUCAGUUUCGAAUCACAGGUCAGCUAAUGCCUGUUAUAUGUUAAAAGCUGAGGAAACGAGUGCAGGAAAAGCAGUUAAAGCCAGGAAACAAAAACCAAGAGGGAUGAACUAUGCAAAAUUGAAUACAUGAGUAGCCAUUUGUGAUAUAGCUGAAAAUACUGCAAAAUAUUUUGAUUAGCAUAUAAAAAAGCAUGGAGAGGAAAACUGUUUAAUGGAUUUUGAAACAGUACAUAUCUUGAAGGUAAGAGAGCUACUCCUGUGGAGUUGUGAUUUUCAUUCCUAUGGGAUUUUAUUAGUUCUUAUCAGGGCUAUAGCCCACUCUCUUUUCUAGCAAAAUGUACCAGAAAAUAUAUGCUUCACCACAAACAUGAAAGGAACAGUUUUAUGGGAGAUAUGAGGGUUGCAUAUCACCUUUUACAGGCAAGAUGGAACUCUGGUUGUAUUUUUUACCCUUUUUUCAGAGGCUGAAUUAGUGCACAAAAAGGACAUAUCCCUUAAGCAAGGUUAAGAAGGAAGUGUGAUGGUGUGAUUUCAGAAGGAAAACAAUACCCAGCAGCCAGAAUUCUGUUUAAAUCAUUUGCUAUCCUUCACCCAGAGGUGAAAUGUAGGACUGAGUAUACAGGAUAAAAGUGAGACUAACGCUCAAAGAAAGCAGCCUUCAUUGUCAGUAUCAGUUAUUUUGGAGUACCAGUUGCCCAUCUCAGAAAUCCAGCCUGUUAUAUAUUGGUGAUUUUGGAGUACCAGUUGCCCAUCUCAGAAAUCCAGCCUGUUAUGUAUUGGUAUUUGGAGUACCAGUUGCCCAUCUCAGAAAUCCAGCCUGUUAUAUAUUGGUGAGGAAGGUAGGACUGAGGGAAUGAGAAGCCUGCUGCUACCCAGCACUUACAUGAGUGGAGGAAAACGUGACCUUUGAAGGUGAGCUGCAUCUGUGCCUGGGGGCAGAGCCUUGCUGUGAACACAAGAGAGAGCAGAGAGACGUGCUGGAUUUGUACAUAAUAGAUGAAGGCAUGGCUGUAUGGACGGGAAGGGAUACCUCCCUAUGCACACAGGGCUGUGUGCACGCUCUUAACCGGGCUCAGCUCUGGUCACGUCUGCACGGUGUGAUGAUGCCAAGGCCUGUGGCUGUAAGGGCGAGCGGGCGGGACCGCUCCCGACUUUGCCUUUGUCUGGCAGGCAGCCGGGGGAAGGCGCUGGGUCCCCCGGCCCGGCCGGCCCGGCUGCCCCUUUAAGAGGCCCCAG
Ficedula albicollis (Collared flycatcher) is the source of this 2015-nucleotide long non-coding RNA. Lineage: Eukaryota; Metazoa; Chordata; Aves; Passeriformes; Muscicapidae. The record is from Ensembl.